ACUAAGCGUACACGGUGGAUGCCCUGGCAGUCAGAGGCGAUGAAGGACGUGCUAAUCUGCGAAAAGCGUCGGUAAGGUGAUAUGAACCGUUAUAACCGGCGAUGUCCGAAUGGGGAAACCCAGUGCAAUUCGUUGCACUAUCGUUAACUGAAUACAUAGGUUAACGAGGCGAACCGGGGGAACUGAAACAUCUAAGUACCCCGAGGAAAAGAAAUCAACCGAGAUUCCCCCAGUAGCGGCGAGCGAACGGGGAGCAGCCCAGAGUCUGAAUCAGCUUGUGUGUUAGUGGAACGGUCUGGAAAGUCCGACGGUACAGGGUGAUAGUCCCGUACACCAAAAUGCACAGGUUGUGAACUCGAAGAGUAGGGCGGGACACGUGGUAUCCUGUCUGAAUAUGGGGGGACCAUCCUCCAAGGCUAAAUACUCCUGACUGACCGAUAGUGAACCAGUACCGUGAGGGAAAGGCGAAAAGAACCCCGGCGAGGGGAGUGAAAAAGAACCUGAAACCGUGUACGUACAAGCAGUGGGAGCACCUUCGGGUGUGACUGCGUACCUUUUGUAUAAUGGGUCAGCGACUUAUAUUCUGUAGCAAGGUUAACCGUAUAGGGGAGCCGCAGGGAAACCGAGUCUUAACUGGGCGUUAAGUUGCAGGGUAUAGACCCGAAACCCGGUGAUCUAGCCAUGGGCAGGUUGAAGGUUGGGUAACACUAACUGGAGGACCGAACCGACUAAUGUUGAAAAAUUAGCGGAUGACUUGUGGCUGGGGGUGAAAGGCCAAUCAAACCGGGAGAUAGCUGGUUCUCCCCGAAAGCUAUUUAGGUAGCGCCUCGUGAACUCAUCUUCGGGGGUAGAGCACUGUUUCGGCUAGGGGGUCAUCCCGACUUACCAACCCGAUGCAAACUACGAAUACCGAAGAAUGUUAUCACGGGAGACACACGGCGGGUGCUAACGUCCGUCGUGAAGAGGGAAACAACCCAGACCGCCAGCUAAGGUCCCAAAGUCAUGGUUAAGUGGGAAACGAUGUGGGAAGGCACAGACAGCCAGGAUGUUGGCUUAGAAGCAGCCAUCAUUUAAAGAAAGCGUAAUAGCUCACUGGUCGAGUCGGCCUGCGCGGAAGAUGUAACGGGGCUAAACCAUGCACCGAAGCUGCGGCAGCGACACUAUGUGUUGUUGGGUAGGGGAGCGUUCUGUAAGCCUGCGAAGGUGUGCUGUGAGGCAUGCUGGAGGUAUCAGAAGUGCGAAUGCUGACAUAAGUAACGAUAAAGCGGGUGAAAAGCCCGCUCGCCGGAAGACCAAGGGUUCCUGUCCAACGUUAAUCGGGGCAGGGUGAGUCGACCCCUAAGGCGAGGCCGAAAGGCGUAGUCGAUGGGAAACAGGUUAAUAUUCCUGUACUUGGUGUUACUGCGAAGGGGGGACGGAGAAGGCUAUGUUAGCCGGGCGACGGUUGUCCCGGUUUAAGCAUGUAGGCUGGUUGUCCAGGCAAAUCCGGAUAAUCAAGGCUGAGGUGUGAUGACGAGGCACUACGGUGCUGAAGUAACAAAUGCCCUGCUUCCAGGAAAAGCCUCUAAGCAUCAGGUAACAUUAAAUCGUACCCCAAACCGACACAGGUGGUCAGGUAGAGAAUACCAAGGCGCUUGAGAGAACUCGGGUGAAGGAACUAGGCAAAAUGGUGCCGUAACUUCGGGAGAAGGCACGCUGGUGUGUAGGUGAAGUCCCUGCGGAUGGAGCUGAGACCAGUCGAAGAUACCAGCUGGCUGCAACUGUUUAUUAAAAACACAGCACUGUGCAAACACGAAAGUGGACGUAUACGGUGUGACGCCUGCCCGGUGCCGGAAGGUUAAUUGAUGGGGUUAUCCGUAAGGAGAAGCUCUUGAUCGAAGCCCCGGUAAACGGCGGCCGUAACUAUAACGGUCCUAAGGUAGCGAAAUUCCUUGUCGGGUAAGUUCCGACCUGCACGAAUGGCGUAAUGAUGGCCAGGCUGUCUCCACCCGAGACUCAGUGAAAUUGAACUCGCUGUGAAGAUGCAGUGUACCCGCGGCAAGACGGAAAGACCCCGUGAACCUUUACUAUAGCUUGACACUGAACAUUGAGCCUUGAUGUGUAGGAUAGGUGGGAGGCUUUGAAGCGUGGACGCCAGUCUGCGUGGAGCCAACCUUGAAAUACCACCCUUUAAUGUUUGAUGUUCUAACGUUGGCCCCUGACCGGGGUUGCGGACAGUGUCUGGUGGGUAGUUUGACUGGGGCGGUCUCCUCCCAAAGCGUAACGGAGGAGCACGAAGGUUAGCUAAUCCUGGUCGGACAUCAGGAGGUUAGUGCAAUGGCAUAAGCUAGCUUGACUGCGAGCGUGACGGCGCGAGCAGGUGCGAAAGCAGGUCAUAGUGAUCCGGUGGUUCUGAAUGGAAGGGCCAUCGCUCAACGGAUAAAAGGUACUCCGGGGAUAACAGGCUGAUACCGCCCAAGAGUUCAUAUCGACGGCGGUGUUUGGCACCUCGAUGUCGGCUCAUCACAUCCUGGGGCUGAAGUAGGUCCCAAGGGUAUGGCUGUUCGCCAUUUAAAGUGGUACGCGAGCUGGGUUUAGAACGUCGUGAGACAGUUCGGUCCCUAUCUGCCGUGGGCGCUGGAGAAUUGAGGGGGGCUGCUCCUAGUACGAGAGGACCGGAGUGGACGCAUCACUGGUGUUCGGGUUGUCAUGCCAAUGGCACUGCCCGGUAGCUAAAUGCGGAAGAGAUAAGUGCUGAAAGCAUCUAAGCACGAAACUUGCCCCGAGAUGAGUUCUCCCUGAGACUUUAAGUCUCCUGAAGGAACGUUGAAGACGACGACGUUGAUAGGCCGGGUGUGUAAGCGCAGCGAUGCGUUGAGCUAACCGGUACUAAUGAACCGUGAGGCUUAACC
This 2891-nucleotide ribosomal RNA is filed under the name Klebsiella pneumoniae. Its description in RNAcentral is "bacterial LSU rRNA". It matches the Rfam family "Bacterial large subunit ribosomal RNA". The record is from RNAcentral. Lineage: Bacteria; Pseudomonadati; Pseudomonadota; Gammaproteobacteria; Enterobacterales; Enterobacteriaceae.